GUUGACCUCGGAUCAGGUAGGAAUACCCGCUGAACUUAAGCAUAUCAAUAAGCGGAGGAAAAGAAACCAACAGGGAUUGCCCUAGUAACGGCGAGUGAAGCGGCAACAGCUCAAAUUUGAAAUCUGGCCCUUGGGUCCGAGUUGUAAUUUGUAGAGGAUGCUUUUGGCGCGGUGCCUUCCGAGUUCCCUGGAACGGGACGCCUUAGAGGGUGAGAGCCCCGUACGGUUGGACACCAAGCCUCUGUAAAGCUCCUUCGACGAGUCGAGUAGUUUGGGAAUGCUGCUCUAAAUGGGAGGUAAAUUUCUUCUAAAGCUAAAUACCGGCCAGAGACCGAUAGCGCACAAGUAGAGUGAUCGAAAGAUGAAAAGCACUUUGAAAAGAGGGUUAAAUAGCACGUGAAAUUGUUGAAAGGGAAGCGUUUACGACCAGACCUUUUCCUAGCGGAUCAUCCGGUGUUCUCACCGGUGCACUUCGCUAGGUCGAGGCCAGCAUCGGUUUCCGUAGGGGGAUAAAAGCUUGGGGAACGUAGCUCCCUCGGGAGUGUUAUAGCCCCUUGCAUAAUACCCUUACGGGGACCGAGGACCGCGCUUAGGCAAGGAUGCUGGCAUAAUGGUCGUCAACGACCCGUCUUGAAACACGGACCAAGGAGUCGAACAUUUGUGCAAGUGUUUGGGUGUCAAACCCUCACGCGUAAUGAAAGUGAACGGAGGUGAGAGCCCUUACGGGUGCAUCAUCGACCGAUCCUGAUGUUUUCGGAUGGAUUUGAGUAAGAGCAUAACUGUUCGGACCCGAAAGAUGGUGAACUAUGCGUGGAUAGGGUGAAGCCAGAGGAAACUCUGGUGGAGGCUCGCAGCGGUUCUGACGUGCAAAUCGAUCGUCAAAUCUGCGCAUGGGGGCGAAAGACUUAUCGAACCAUCUAGUAGCUGGUUACCGCCG
Molecule: ribosomal RNA, 937 nt
Filed under: Anthostomelloides brabeji
Lineage: Eukaryota; Fungi; Ascomycota; Sordariomycetes; Xylariales
Description: eukaryotic LSU rRNA
Rfam family: Eukaryotic large subunit ribosomal RNA
Source: RNAcentral